This is a non-coding RNA of Lasiosphaeria ovina, 104 nucleotides long. The record is from the annotation of a GenBank genome assembly. NCBI's taxonomy places the organism in Eukaryota, Fungi, Ascomycota, Sordariomycetes, Sordariales, Lasiosphaeriaceae.
GGUCGGGUGGCGCAAUGGUAGCGCGUUACUUUCCGGUGACAUGCCUCAGGAGAGUCUCCAUUCUCAGCUAGUAAAGGUUCUAGGUUCAAAUCCCAGCUCGAUCG